This 414-nucleotide long non-coding RNA is filed under the name Monodelphis domestica (gray short-tailed opossum). RNAcentral's name for it is "lncRNA (ENSMODG00000036107.2)". Lineage: Eukaryota; Metazoa; Chordata; Mammalia; Didelphimorphia; Didelphidae. The record is from RNAcentral.
CAGCUGAAGGCCAAGCACUAAUCAAAGUGGUCAGAUUGGGGGAGGUGAAACAGCAAAGAGAAGUUGUAUUGGUAGACCUCCCCCAGCCACAACAGGAGUCCUACAAAGUGCUCGAUAAAAAAGAAAAUAUGAACAAUUAAUGACGAACAAAAAGCACAAUUCAAAAUUUUGAUCUAUAUAAUUCUAAGAGCAAGUUGGAAAGGAAACCAAGAAGAAAAUGGUGUGACAGGCAAAUGGAGGCCAAUUGGCAGUGCAACAGCGGAGAGUGGAGAGAAAGGGAAGAAAGAUGCUUUGGAUGAGUCGCUGGUAGUCAUACCCACUCCAUUCUUCUGGUUUAAUUAAGCCUGUUCUCUCCAGUCCAUUCUCACUGACUCAUCUAAUAAAGUCUUAUCACCACUUUGCUUCUGUUCCUUA